AACGAACGCUGGCGGCAUGCCUAACACAUGCAAGUCGAACGAGAUGCCUUCGGGUAUCUAGUGGCGCACGGGUGCGUAACGCGUGGGAAUCUGCCCUGGGGUCUGGGAUAACCGUUGGAAAAGACGGCUAAUACCGGAUGAGGAUGAAAAUCCAAAGAUUUAUCGACCUGGUAUGAGCCCGCGUCGGAUUAGCUAGUUGGUGGGGUAAAGGCCUACCAAGGCGACGAUCCGUAGCUGGUCUGAGAGGAUGACCAGCCACACUGGGACUGAGACACGGCCCAGACUCCUACGGGAGGCAGCAGUGGGGAAUAUUGGACAAUGGGCGCAAGCCUGAUCCAGCAAUGCCGCGUGAGUGAUGAAGGCCUUUGGGUUGUAAAGCUCUUUUACCCGGGAUGAUAAUGACAGUACCGGGAGAAUAAGCCCCGGCUAACUCCGUGCCAGCCGCCGCAGUAA
This 453-nucleotide ribosomal RNA is filed under the name uncultured bacterium. RNAcentral's name for it is "partial 16S ribosomal RNA". It matches the Rfam family "Bacterial small subunit ribosomal RNA", at positions 29 to 523 of the family's 1533-position model. The record is from RNAcentral.